GUGACCUGCGGAGGNCAUUAANGAUUGCGAAUGGUUGCCUUCGGUGAGAGCUCUUGCAAGUGCACGUUGGUGGCUUUCAUCCAAUACCCCUGUGAACCUUUGGCCUCUUGCUAGCUUCGGCUGGCAGAGGAUUUUUACACACUCGAAUGUAAUGAAAACUAUUGUCGUGCGCAAGCACUAAUGUACAACUUUCAACAACGGAUCUCUUGGCUCUCGCAUCGAUGAAGAACGCAGCGAAAUGCGAUAAGUAAUGUGAAUUGCAGAAUUCAGUGAAUCAUCGAAUCUUUGAACGCACCUUGCACCCUUUGGUAUUCCGAAGGGUAUGCUCGUUUGAGUGUCAUUGUACUCUCACACUCUCUGAUCCUUUGGAUUCAGGGAGCGGUGGACUUGGGUGUUUGCUGCUUUCCUGGUGGCUCACCUCAAAUGCGUUAGUGCACCUCUUGGUUGGACAUAGUACGGCGUGAUAAGUAUCUUCGCCGGCACCUCGCGAGAGGGUGGCCGAUUGGGAGCUCUGUGCUUUCAAACCGUCUUCGGACACUCUUGACAACUUGACCUCAAAUCGAGUAGGACUACCCGCUGAACUUAAGCAUAUCAAUAAGCGGAGGAAA
RNAcentral lists this ribosomal RNA (608 nucleotides) under Sebacina dimitica. RNAcentral's name for it is "eukaryotic LSU rRNA". The stretch from base 187 to 340 matches the Rfam family "5.8S ribosomal RNA". The record is from RNAcentral. Lineage: Eukaryota; Fungi; Basidiomycota; Agaricomycetes; Sebacinales; Sebacinaceae.